Molecule: long non-coding RNA, 442 nt
Filed under: Homo sapiens (human)
Lineage: Eukaryota; Metazoa; Chordata; Mammalia; Primates; Hominidae
Description: non-protein coding lnc-CDKN2B-3:1
Source: RNAcentral
GUGCGUGGCAUCAUCUGGAGAUCUCUCGAUCUCGGCUCUUCUGCACAACUCAACUAAUCUGACCCUCCUCAGCUAAUCUGACCCUCCGCUUUAUGCGGUAGAGUUUUCCAGAGCUGCCCCAGGGGGUUCUGGGGACAUCAGGACCAAGACUUCGCUGACCCUGGCAGUCUGUGCACCGGAGUUGGCUCCUUUCCCUCUUAAACUUGUGCAAGAGAUCGCUGAGCGAUGAAGUUACAGCUAGCAUCCAGGUCCCGGGAGGUGAAGAAGGAGACUUCGGCUCCAGUUACAGCUAGCAUCCGGGUCCCGAUUUAGAAGGAGCUGCCAAUUACAGCGCGGUUCCAGGGCUGAGCAAAAAGCCUGAGGAGCCAAGUGGGAGAGGGAGUAAAACUACUGAAUUGGGCCACAAGCAAAUGAAUAAACUGAACGACUCUUAACCAAACCU